UGCAUUCACUACUGUAAGUUGCUCUGGAUAAGAGUGUCUGCUAAAUUGUAAAAU
Salmo salar (Atlantic salmon) is the source of this 54-nucleotide non-coding RNA. NCBI's taxonomy places the organism in Eukaryota, Metazoa, Chordata, Actinopteri, Salmoniformes, Salmonidae. The record is from Rfam.